UACAGAGGGUGCGAGCGUUAAUCGGAAUUACUGGGCGUAAAGGGUGCGUAGGUGGUUAGUUAAGUUAGAUGUGAAAUCCCUGGGCUUAACCUAGGAAUUGCAUUUAAUACUGAUUGGCUAGAGUUUGGGAGAGGGAAGUGGAAUUUCCGGUGUAGCGGUGAAAUGCGUAGAUAUCGGAAGGAACACCAGUGGCGAAGGCGACUUCCUGGCCCGAUACUGACACUGAGGCACGAAAGCGUGGGGAGCGAAC
This 250-nucleotide ribosomal RNA is filed under the name uncultured bacterium. Its description in RNAcentral is "partial 16S ribosomal RNA". It matches the Rfam family "Bacterial small subunit ribosomal RNA", at positions 524 to 773 of the family's 1533-position model. The record is from RNAcentral.